This 253-nucleotide ribosomal RNA is filed under the name uncultured bacterium. RNAcentral's name for it is "partial 16S ribosomal RNA". It matches the Rfam family "Bacterial small subunit ribosomal RNA", at positions 524 to 776 of the family's 1533-position model. The record is from RNAcentral.
UACAGAGGUCCCAAGCGUUGUUCGGAUUUACUGGGCGUAAAGGGUGCGUAGGUGGUUGGGUAAGUUUGAUGUGAAAUCUCCGGGCUUAACCCGGAAAUGGCAUUGAAUACUAUUCGGCUAGAGGUUUGGAGGGGGGACUGGAAUUCUUGGUGUAGCAGUGAAAUGCGUAGAUAUCAAGAGGAACACCGAUGGCGAAGGCAAUCCCCUUGGCCUGUACUGACGCUCAUGCACGAAAGCGUGGGGAGCAAACAGG